GACGAACGCUGGCGGCGUGCUUAACACAUGCAAGUCGAACGGUAAGGCCCUGCUUUUGUGGGGUGCUCGAGUGGCGAACGGGUGAGUAACACGUGCGUAACCUGCCCUUGACUUUGGGAUAACUUCAGGAAACUUAGGCUAAUACCGGAUAGGAGCUCCUGCUGCAUGGUGGGGGUUGGAACGUUGCGGCGGUUGGGGAUGGACUCGCGGCUUAUGAGCUUGUUGGUGGGGGAGUGGCUUACCAAGGCUUUGACGGGUAGGCGGCCUGAGAGGGUGCACAGGCACAAUGGGACUGAGAGACGGACCAGACUGCUACGGGAGGCAGUAGUGGGGAAUAUGGCACAAUGGGCGGAAGCGUAAUGCAGAAACGCUGCGGGCGGGAUGAGGGCCUGCGGGUUGUAAACCGCUUUUGGCUGAGACGAAGCGUGAGUGACGGUAAUGGGUAAAGAAGCACCGGCUAACUACGUG
RNAcentral lists this ribosomal RNA (468 nucleotides) under uncultured bacterium. RNAcentral's name for it is "partial 16S ribosomal RNA". It matches the Rfam family "Bacterial small subunit ribosomal RNA", at positions 28 to 507 of the family's 1533-position model. The record is from RNAcentral.